Dermatophagoides farinae (American house dust mite) is the source of this 343-nucleotide non-coding RNA. The record is from RefSeq and is a predicted model, not a curated record. NCBI's taxonomy places the organism in Eukaryota, Metazoa, Arthropoda, Arachnida, Sarcoptiformes, Pyroglyphidae.
UUGAAAUAGCACUGCAGUGAGCACAAUUUGUUGUUAUUUAAUACCGAAGUAAUUAACAAUGUUAAAAAGUUUCGAAUUUAUAACGGGACAUAAAAUAUUUUAGUUAGAACAGAGCAAAAUAUUUCUCAAUUUUCAUAUGUUCCGCAGCAAAAAACGCAAUUUACUUUGUUGAAACAACAUUGCGAUGGCCAUUUUGCUAUAGCAGUUUUGGUCCGAUUCAUUCAUAAAGAACCUUACAAUAUGAGAAUUUCGGAUUCAUUAUGUGAAUAAAAAAGAAAUUGAAAGCAAGAAAUAAAGAGAUAAACGGUGGAUGGUUUCAUUGUUUUUCCAUAACAAAACAAAA